This 571-nucleotide ribosomal RNA is filed under the name uncultured Alphaproteobacteria bacterium. Its description in RNAcentral is "bacterial SSU rRNA". It matches the Rfam family "Bacterial small subunit ribosomal RNA", at positions 38 to 655 of the family's 1533-position model. The record is from RNAcentral. Lineage: Bacteria; Pseudomonadati; Pseudomonadota; Alphaproteobacteria.
GGCGGCAUGCCUAACACAUGCAAGUCGAACGAAGGCUUCGGCCUUAGUGGCGCACGGGUGAGUAACGCGUGGGAAUCUGCCUAUCAGUGGGGAAUAACGACGGGAAACUGUCGCUAAUACCGCAUACGCCCUUCGGGGGAAAGAUUUAUCGCUGAUAGAUGAGCCCGCGUACGAUUAGCUAGUUGGUGAGGUAAUGGCUCACCAAGGCUACGAUCGUUAGCUGGUCUGAGAGGAUGAUCAGCCACACUGGGACUGAGACACGGCCCAGACUCCUACGGGAGGCAGCAGUGGGGAAUAUUGGACAAUGGGCGAAAGCCUGAUCCAGCAAUGCCGCGUGAGUGAUGAAGGCCUUAGGGUUGUAAAGCUCUUUCGGGUGGGACGAUGAUGACGGUACCACCAGAAGAAGCCCCGGCUAACUUCGUGCCAGCAGCCGCGGUAAUACGAAGGGGGCUAGCGUUGUUCGGAAUUACUGGGCGUAAAGCGCACGCAGGCGGCUCGAUAAAUUAGAAGUGAAAGCCCCGGGCUUAACCUGGGAAUUGCUUUUAAGACUGUCGAGCUAGAAUCCAGAAGA